Molecule: ribosomal RNA, 701 nt
Filed under: uncultured bacterium
Lineage: Bacteria
Description: bacterial SSU rRNA
Rfam family: Bacterial small subunit ribosomal RNA
Source: RNAcentral
GUGCCAGCAGCCGCGGUAAUACGUAGGGCGCAAGCGUUGUCCGGAAUUAUUGGGCGUAAAGAGCUUGUAGGUGGCUUGUCGCGUCUGCCGUGAAAACCCGAGGCUCAACCUCGGGCGUGCGGUGGGUACGGGCAGGCUAGAGUGUGGUAGGGGAGACUGGAACUCCUGGUGUAGCGGUGAAAUGCGCAGAUAUCAGGAAGAACACCGAUGGCGAAGGCAGGUCUCUGGGCCAUUACUGACACUGAGAAGCGAAAGCAUGGGGAGCGAACAGGAUUAGAUACCCUGGUAGUCCAUGCCGUAAACGUUGGGCACUAGAUGUGGGGAACAUUCCACGUUUUCCGCGUCGUAGCUAACGCAUUAAGUGCCCCGCCUGGGGAGUACGGCCGCAAGGCUAAAACUCAAAGGAAUUGACGGGGGCCCGCACAAGCGGCGGAGCAUGCGGAUUAAUUCGAUGCAACGCGAAGAACCUUAUCAAGGCUUGACAUGCACCGGACGACUCCAGAGAUGGGGUUUUCUUCGGACUGGUGCACAGGUGGUGCAUGGUUGUCGUCAGCUCGUGUCGUGAGAUGUUGGGUUAAGUCCCGCAACGAGCGCAACCCUCGUUCCAUGUUGCCAGCGCGUAAUGGCGGGGACUCAUGGGAGACUGCCGGGGUCAACUCGGAGGAAGGUGGGGACGACGUCAAAUCAUCAUGCCCCUUAUG